RNAcentral lists this ribosomal RNA (253 nucleotides) under uncultured bacterium. RNAcentral describes it as "partial 16S ribosomal RNA". It matches the Rfam family "Bacterial small subunit ribosomal RNA", at positions 524 to 776 of the family's 1533-position model. The record is from RNAcentral.
GACGGAAGGUGCAAGCGUUGCUCGGAAUCACUGGGCGUAAAGAGCGCGCAGGCGGUCGAUCAAGUCGCGUGUGAAAGCCCCCGGCUCAACUGGGGAGGGUCACGCGAUACUGAUCGACUCGAAGGCAGGAGAGGGUAGUGGAAUUCCCGGUGUAGUGGUGAAAUGCGUAGAUAUCGGGAGGAACACCAGUGGCGAAGGCGACUACCUGGCCUGUUCUUGACGCUGAGGCGCGAAAGCUAGGGGAGCAAACGGG